Molecule: ribosomal RNA, 497 nt
Filed under: uncultured bacterium
Lineage: Bacteria
Description: partial 16S ribosomal RNA
Rfam family: Bacterial small subunit ribosomal RNA
Source: RNAcentral
GAUGAACGCUGGCGGCGUGCCUAAUACAUGCAAGUAGAACGCUGAAGCUUGGUGCUUGCACCGAGCGGAUGAGUUGCGAACGGGUGAGUAACGCGUAGGUAACCUGCCUCUUAGCGGGGGAUAACUAUUGGAAACGAUAGCUAAUACCGCAUAAAAGUCGAUAUCGCAUGAUAUUGAUUUGAAAGGUGCAAAUGCAUCACUAAGAGAUGGACCUGCGUUGUAUUAGCUAGUUGGUGAGGUAACGGCUCACCAAGGCGACGAUACAUAGCCGACCUGAGAGGGUGAGCGGCCACACUGGGACUGAGACACGGCCCAGACUCCUACGGGAGGCAGCAGUAGGGCAUCUUCGGCAAUGGGGGCAACCCUGACCGAGCAACGCCGCGUGAGUGAAGAAGGUUUUCGGAUCGUAAAGCUCUGUUGUAAGAGAAGAACGAGUGUGAGAGUGGAAAGUUCACACUGUGACGGUAACUUACCAGAAAGGGACGGCUAACUACGUG